Molecule: unclassified non-coding RNA, 878 nt
Filed under: Hevea brasiliensis (rubber tree)
Lineage: Eukaryota; Viridiplantae; Streptophyta; Magnoliopsida; Malpighiales; Euphorbiaceae
Source: RNAcentral
GUUCUCCGGCGCAAAAGAGGCAAGAGGGUCUCGGAGGCUUUCUUCUUAAUUUCUGCUGUUAACAGAUACAUAAUGAUUUGUAGGAUCAAGAGUUGGGUUUUGAUCAAACAAAAAUGCCUGGUAAUAAUCUGAGGCUACGUUGAGGAUGAAAGGACUUAGCUUUCUCCACUUGACAACAGCAACUAACUCUCUGUUUCCAAAUUCUCAGAGGGUGUUUUCCACGAUUAAACUACUACAACAAGAAGAAAAAGCAAAACACUUGCUCUCUCUAUUACUCAAAAACCCAACAAUUCACCACACCACCCAACAAAUCCACUCUCAGUUACUCACCACGGGCUUACUUAACCACUCAAUGCUUCUCUUCAACACUUUGCUCAGAUGCUAUUCUCUCAGUGAUUUCCCUCAGUUAUCUUUCCUUCUCUACCACCAACUCCAACAAGCCUACUUCCACUCCCCUUCUUUAUCACCCCCUUCAUUUGAUAGCUUUGCCUAUACAUUCCUUGUAAAUGCAAGCACCAAUCUUUCUUGUCUGGGUAUAGGAAGACAGUUUCAGAGUCUUAUACUUAAAGUGGGUUUUCAGUUUCAUGUUUAUGUACAAACUGCACUCGUUAAUUUGUACUCUGCUAGUGGGGUUUUAGGUGAUGCUCUGCUUGCGUUCGAUGAAAUGCCUCAUAGGAAUGCAGUUACGUGGAAUGUGAUGAUUACUGGGUUGGUUAAGUGGGGUGAGAUUGAAUUUGCUUGUGCUCUUUUUGAUGAGAUGCCGGAGAAAAAUGUUGUAUCGUGGACUGGGAUUAUUGAUGGGUAUGUAAGGAUGAAUAGGUACAGUGAAGGUUUAGCUUUGUUUCGAAGAAUGGUUGUCGCUGAGGAUAUCAAACCAA